RNAcentral lists this ribosomal RNA (711 nucleotides) under uncultured bacterium. RNAcentral describes it as "bacterial SSU rRNA". It matches the Rfam family "Bacterial small subunit ribosomal RNA", at positions 94 to 782 of the family's 1533-position model. The record is from RNAcentral.
ACUGGCGGACGGGUGAGUAACGCGUAGGCAACCUGCCCCUAUGACCGGGAUAACCCUGCGAAAGCGGGGCUAAUACUGGAUGUGGUCUCAGGGCUUUUGGGUUCUGGGAUUAAAGCUGCCUGGGGUGACCUGGGUAGUGCAUAGGGAUGGGCGUGCGUCCCAUUAGCUAGUUGGUAGGGUAACGGCCUACCAAGGCGACGAUGGGUAGCUGGCGUGAGAGCGUGAUCAGCCACACUGGGACUGAGAUACGGCCCAGACUCCUACGGGAGGCAGCAGUGGGGAAUAUUGCGCAAUGCCCGCAAGGGUGACGCAGCGACGCCGCGUGGGCGAAGAAGCUCUACGGAGUGUAAAGCCCUGUCAGGGGGGACGAACGGCCACGUUUCGAAAGGGGCGUGGUGUGACGGUACCCUCAGAGGAAGCUCCGGCUAACUCCGUGCCAGCAGCCGCGGUAAUACGGGGGGAGCAAGCGUUGUCCGGAAUCACUGGGCGUAAAGGGCGUGUAGGCGGGCAGCCAAGUCAGAUGUAAAAGGUCACGGCUCAACCGUGGUUGGUCAUCUGAUACUGGUUGUCUUGAGUUCGAGAGAGGGUGGUGGAAUUCCCGGUGUAGCGGUGAAAUGCGUAGAUAUCGGGAAGAACACCGGAGGCGAAGGCGGCCACCUGGCUCGCAACUGACGCUGAGGCGCGAAAGCGUGGGGAGCAAACAGGAUUAGA